Trichobilharzia regenti is the source of this 46-nucleotide non-coding RNA. The record is from Rfam. Lineage: Eukaryota; Metazoa; Platyhelminthes; Trematoda; Strigeidida; Schistosomatidae.
GUACUGAUGAAGAGUCCCAAACUAGGACGAAACGGAUGUCCAGUAU